CGGCGAGUGAAGCGGCAACAGCUCAAAUUUGAAAUCUGGCCCCAGGCCCGAGUUGUAAUUUGUAGAGGAUGUUUCUGGCGAAGUGCCUUCCGAGUUCCCUGGAACGGGACGCCAUAGAGGGUGAGAGCCCCGUACGGUUGGUUGCCUAGCCUCUGUGAAACUCCUUCGACGAGUCGAGUAGUUUGGGAAUGCUGCUCUAAAUGGGAGGUAUACGUCUUCUAAAGCUAAAUACCGGCCAGAGACCGAUAGCGCACAAGUAGAGUGAUCGAAAGAUGAAAAGCACUUUGAAAAGAGGGUUAAAUAGUACGUGAAAUUGUUGAAAGGGAAGCGUUUAUGACCAGACUUGGACAGGUUGAUCAUCCGUCGUUCUCGGCGGUGCACUCUGCCUGUCCAGGCCAGCAUCAGUUCGCCCCGGGGGAUAAAGACUUCGGGAAUGUGGCUCCCUCGGGAGUGUUAUAGCCCGUUGUGCAAUACCCUGGGGCGGA
This 485-nucleotide ribosomal RNA is filed under the name Mycocitrus coccicola. Its description in RNAcentral is "eukaryotic LSU rRNA". It matches the Rfam family "Eukaryotic large subunit ribosomal RNA", at positions 87 to 585 of the family's 3401-position model. Lineage: Eukaryota; Fungi; Ascomycota; Sordariomycetes; Hypocreales; Bionectriaceae. The record is from RNAcentral.